GAAUUGACGGGGACCCGCACAAGCGGUGGAGCAUGUGGUUUAAUUCGAAGCAACGCGAAGAACCUUACCAAGUCUUGACAUCGGAAUGAUCGUUCCUUAACAGGAGGCUUCCCUACGGGGCGAUUCCAGACAGGUGGUGCAUGGUUGUCGUCAGCUCGUGUCGUGAGAUGUUGGGUUAAGUCCCGCAACGAGCGCAACCCUUACUCCUUAGUAGCCAGCAGUUCGGCUGGGCGACUCUGGGGAGGACUGCCAGGGA
Molecule: ribosomal RNA, 256 nt
Filed under: uncultured Lachnospiraceae bacterium
Lineage: Bacteria; Bacillati; Bacillota; Clostridia; Lachnospirales; Lachnospiraceae
Description: partial 16S ribosomal RNA
Rfam family: Bacterial small subunit ribosomal RNA
Source: RNAcentral